RNAcentral lists this ribosomal RNA (782 nucleotides) under Salmonella enterica subsp. enterica serovar Cerro. Its description in RNAcentral is "partial 23S ribosomal RNA". It matches the Rfam family "Bacterial large subunit ribosomal RNA", at positions 1 to 816 of the family's 2925-position model. Lineage: Bacteria; Pseudomonadati; Pseudomonadota; Gammaproteobacteria; Enterobacterales; Enterobacteriaceae. The record is from RNAcentral.
GGGUUGUGAGGUUAAGCGACUAAGCGUACACGGUGGAUGCCCUGGCAGUCAGAGGCGAUGAAGGGCGUGCUAAUCUGCGAUAAGCGCCGGUAAGGUGAUAUGAACCGUUAUAACCGGCGAUACCCGAAUGGGGAAACCCAGUGUGACUCGUCACACUAUCAUUAACUGAAUCCAUAGGUUAAUGAGGCGAACCGGGGGAACUGAAACAUCUAAGUACCCCGAGGAAAAGAAAUCAACCGAGAUUCCCCCAGUAGCGGCGAGCGAACGGGGAGGAGCCCAGAGCCUGAAUCAGCAUGUGUGUUAGUGGAAGCGUCUGGAAAGGCGCGCGAUACAGGGUGACAGCCCCGUACACAAAAGCGCAUGUGCUGUGAGCUCGAUGAGUAGGGCGGGACACGUGGUAUCCUGUCUGAAUAUGGGGGGACCAUCCUCCAAGGCUAAAUACUCCUGACUGACCGAUAGUGAACCAGUACCGUGAGGGAAAGGCGAAAAGAACCCCGGCGAGGGGAGUGAAAAAGAACCUGAAACCGUGUACGUACAAGCAGUGGGAGCACCCUUUUGGGUGUGACUGCGUACCUUUUGUAUAAUGGGUCAGCGACUUAUAUUCUGUAGCAAGGUUAACCGAAUAGGGGAGCCGGAGGGAAACCGAGUCUUAACCGGGCGUUAAGUUGCAGGGUAUAGACCCGAAACCCGGUGAUCUAGCCAUGGGCAGGUUGAAGGUUGGGUAACACUAACUGGAGGACCGAACCGACUAAUGUUGAAAAAUUAGCGGAUGACCUGUGGCU